GUUGUCAACCUAAAAAUGAGCGUCUUUAACCUCUACUAAUUGAAAUCAAUGAGAUAAAAUUAUGUUUUAACAGUGUAAUUAAUAAAUUACUAAUUAUUAAUAUUAGUUGAAAUACACAAUGUUUAUAACUUAAUAGAAGAAUCCAACCCAACUUAUUGAAUAAUAACUAGAGGUUGGAAACAAGGACGGUAGAAUAAGAGGACUGCUACAUCUGGAAAACAAGUGCAUAGUUUGACGACUCGUUCGUGACGUCAGAUAUGAGGAGUUUUUAUUUUGUAAGCUUGAAAUUUGUCAUGACGCCACGACACGACGCGACGUCGCGCCGAAUCGCCAAUGCACCGGUUUUACGUUUCUACAUGCCACAUUUGGCAUCUUAUCUGGACAAACACUUAUUUAUUUCUACAUAAAACUCUUAAAAAAAGUUUUUAUGUCGUUUACUGGUCCCAGGGAAUUUGUUCCGGAUUUCCCAGUCUGUGAUUGGGCCACAAAACACCCGCAUAUUUGUCAAUCGAUUUAGAGAAAAUAGUGAAUAUUUCAAAAAUUAUUCAAUUAUGUCACUAAAAAAAAGUACUAAUUAUUGGAAAAAUAAUUUAAAGCGAAUUAAAUGUUACAUGGAUUCAAUUCACUGGAAACUGGCAUUAUGGUAGCAUUUUGGAGCUAGAUGUUAGAAAUUAUAGAUAAAACUAAUACAUAUCUCAAAAAGUUGAUAUUACACUUGAAACCAUUCUUAGAUUAUACGAUUCUUUACAAAAGUUUGUACAGUCAAAACGAAAUGCAGAGUCAUUUCAGUUUUACAAAUCUGAAGGGAUUUAAUUGUCUCAAUAAUAAAUUCAUAUACAUAUUUAUAUAAUAAAUAGGGCAACCAAAACUAUUCUCCAAAAAUACUAGUUUUUAGUGCUUAAUAUAUAUUCUAUGAAAAUCAAAAUAUAUUUUUAAGUAUGAAAGUAUGCUCAAUAAAAAACUGGAAUUAAAUAUUAAAAUAUCUUUUAAAUCUGUAGGUGAGGUUAAACAAAGUAAUUGAAAAAUGAUAUCUACUUCUAUACACGAGAUGUUUAUUAGUUCGACUUAUAAAAACUAAAAAAGAAUAAGAAAAUAUUGAAGAAAACACAAAAGACAAA
This 1118-nucleotide long non-coding RNA is filed under the name Onthophagus taurus. RNAcentral's name for it is "uncharacterized LOC111413467, transcript variant X1". The record is from RNAcentral. Lineage: Eukaryota; Metazoa; Arthropoda; Insecta; Coleoptera; Scarabaeidae.